AAGCUCAAAUUUGAAAUCCCCCGGGAAUUGUAAUUUGAAGAGAUUUGGGUCCGGCCGGCAGGGGUUAAGUCCACUGGAAAGUGGCGCCACAGAGGGUGACAGCCCCGUGAACCCCUUUAACGCCUUCAUCCCAGAUCUCCAAGAGUCGAGUUGUUUGGGAAUGCAGCUCUAAGUGGGUGGUAAAUUCCAUCUAAAGCUAAAUACCGGCGAGAGACCGAUAGCGAACAAGUACAGUGAUGGAAAGAUGAAAAGCACUUUGAAAAGAGAGUGAAAAAGUACGUGAAAUUGUUGAAAGGGAAGGGCUUGCAAGCAGACACUUAACUGGGCCAGCAUCGGGGCGGCGGGGAGCAAAACCACCGGGGAAUGUACCUUUCGAGGAUUAUAACCCCGGUCCUUACUCCCUCACCAUCCCGAGGCCUGCAAUCUAAGGAUGCUGGCGUAAUGGUUGCAAGUCGCCCGUC
Molecule: ribosomal RNA, 461 nt
Filed under: Metschnikowia pulcherrima
Lineage: Eukaryota; Fungi; Ascomycota; Pichiomycetes; Serinales; Metschnikowiaceae
Description: partial large subunit ribosomal RNA
Rfam family: Eukaryotic large subunit ribosomal RNA
Source: RNAcentral